AGUGAACGCUGGCGGCAGGCCUAACACAUGCAAGUCGAGCGGCAGCGCGUCCGACCACCCUCGGGUGGUCGGAUGGCGGCGAGCGGCGGACGGGUGAGGAAUGCAUCGGAAUCUGCCUCGUUGUGGGGGAUAACGUAGGGAAACUUACGCUAAUACCGCAUACGACCUACGGGUGAAAGUGGGGGACCUUCGGGCCUCACGCGAUGAGAUGAGCCGAUGCCGGAUUAGCUAGUUGGCGGGGUAAAGGCCCACCAAGGCGACGAUCCGUAGCUGGUCUGAGAGGAUGAUCAGCCACACUGGAACUGAGACACGGUCCAGACUCCUACGGGAGGCAGCAGUGGGGAAUAUUGGACAAUGGGGGCAACCCUGAUCCAGCCAUGUCGCGUGUGUGAAGAA
This 396-nucleotide ribosomal RNA is filed under the name uncultured bacterium. RNAcentral's name for it is "bacterial SSU rRNA". It matches the Rfam family "Bacterial small subunit ribosomal RNA", at positions 30 to 412 of the family's 1533-position model. The record is from RNAcentral.